This is a long non-coding RNA of Carassius gibelio (silver crucian carp), 5182 nucleotides long. RefSeq lists it as uncharacterized. The record is from RefSeq and is a predicted model, not a curated record. Lineage: Eukaryota; Metazoa; Chordata; Actinopteri; Cypriniformes; Cyprinidae. The transcript is spliced from 3 exons.
CACUAAACUGUCCUGGUAUGAAAAUUGUCAAACCACUUUGGAAAAACAUAAGAAUGGGUAAAUAAUGGCAGAUUGUUUUGAACCAUUAAAAAAUAGUUGAAACUAAGAAAUACAUGUGUGAUUUGGGCCAGACAAAAUGGGGCCAACUGAAAGUGUUCUUUUUGGUGGUUCAGAACCACUCUUUAUAGUACAUUAUAUAUGAACAGAUGAUUUCUUAACUUUUAUUUCUACACUGCAGCGUUGGAAUGUUUGAAAACCAUAUAUCAUUGCAUAGUUUUACCUCUGAGCAAGGAGCAAAAAAAAGAGCAUCGCCAUGAGUACAUCAAGACUUUACUGGUUUGUUUUUUAUGUAAAAGCAUGAUAUCAGGUUUAUAUAACCAGUUCAUUACUGCUGUUGAAGUUGUGCACCAGCAUCCAUCUGGCAUGCUGUAAAAAAAAGUGUUUAUAUGUUUAUCUUUGUGAUCAGCUGCGUGUUAGACAAAAGUCUGUUUUCUGGCUUUGUCUGUCAGUUAUUGGGCAGAUGCUAUACCUUCAUAGUAACCACACACACAUUUAUUUCAGUGAUGCCAAGUAAAGUCAAGUCACCUUUGUGUAUAUAUACAUACAUAUAUAUAUAUAUAUAUAUAUAUGUGCUUUUAACAAUACUGUUAUGUGGAGGGGUGGGGAAAACAAAACCCACGAGGGGGAAAACAAGGACUAGGGCAGAUACAAAAUAACUUAACAGGACUGAGUUAACAAGAUAAACAAAGACUCAAAACACGAGAACACUAAAUAAACACUCACUGUUACACAAAGAUUUCUUAAAGGGGUUACAAGGAUACAAUAUCUCACGAGGCUGACAUGUAGAAAUACAUAUGAGGAACAAUGAACCGACAAAAGACAGAGCACACUAGGGGAUCUAAAUAGGAGAACUAAUUAAGACACAACAGGUGGCACAGAUAAGGCAAUCACGACAAGACUAGGAUAACAAGGGGGCAGGGCAAGGGGACGAGACAACACAAGCACAUGGCCCAAAGACAAGGCCAUGUGCUUGUACACAAAACACGGGUCUGUCAUGAUCCUGCCUCAAGACUAGAGAAAAGUCAGGACAUGAAGGCAGAAUCAUGACAAAUACAGAUGGUGUCAAAGCAACUUUACAGUAUUAAAUAGGAAAAUAGUAAACACUAAAUUUUCAGUUAAAGAAAACAUCAUUGAAUUCAGUGAUGUCAUCAUCCAGCUCAGUUCAGUUUAGUAUUUGUGCAAUCAAGUCCACAAUAAUGCUGGAUAUUAAGUGUCCCCAAGCAAGCCAGAGGAAACAGUGGCAAGGAACCAAAACUCCAUCAGUGACAGAAUGGAGAAAAAACCUUGGGAGAAACCAGGCUCAGUUGGGGGGCCAGUUCUCCUCUUACCAGACGAAACCAGCAGUUCAAUCCCAAGCUGCAGCAAAGUCAAAUUGUGCAGAGGACUCUUCUGGUUCCUGUGGUCUAGUCCCAGUGGUCUUCUGAGACAAGGUCUUUACAGGGGAUCUGUCUCUGGGGCUCAUCUAGUUGUCCUGGUCUCCGCUGUCUUUCAGGGAUGUAGAGGUCCUCUCUAGGUGCUGAUCCACCAUCUGGUCUGGAUAAUACAGGAUCCGGGUGACUGCAGUGACCCUCUGAUCUGGAUACACACUGGAUCUGGUGGCUACGAUGACAUCAGAAUAAGAAAGAAACAGACUAAAAUGAGUGUGGAUGCCAUUCUUCUAGCAAGAACAUCCUUUGUUAUGGGAAGUGUUCCCGGUUCCAGUUUAAUCCUAAUUAAGUCAGCCUAAAAAUCCUUUAGCGGAUUUGAAUAUUGGAAAUGUGUUAGUGUGUUAUGUGUAAGCCAGGUUAAAGAGAUUGUUCUUUAAUCUAAAUUUAAACUGACAGAGUGUGUCUGCCUUCUGAACAAUGUUAGGAAGGCUAUUCCAGAGUUUAGGUUCUAAAUAGGAAAAGGUAUUAUCACAUUUCCAGAGUUUUGAGAACACAGUGGAUGCGGAGGACUAUAAUGCAUUAAGAGCUUGUUCAAAUACUGUGGUGUUAAACCAAUCGGGGCUUUAUAAGUAACAAGCAAGAUUUUAAAAGCUAUACGAUGUUAAAUAGGGAGCCGGUGCAGUGUUGAGUAUGACAGGAUUCACAAAAAUGAUCUGAAGCAGAAGAACUCUACACUCUCAGAAAUAAAGGUACGGUGAGGGUACAAUUAUAGCUGCUUAAUUUUGAACCAGCUGGAAUUUGUUUAUUAAGCAUGCAGAACAACCACCCAAUAAAACAUUACAGUAAUCUAACCUUGAGACCAUGAAUGCAUGAAUUAAUGUUUCUGCAUUUGACAUUGGGAGCGUAGUUACUAAUUUAGAUAUAUUCUUGAGAUAGAAAUAUGCCGUUUUACAAGUUUUGAUGUCACAUGCAUCCACUCAUAUGCAGACACAUAGCUGACUCUACUUCUGUGCUAUCUGUUAGUGAGUAGAUGCAGCAGAGCUGGAGAGUGUUCGGCUGAGAUAGGAGUCUGUUUCCUGAGCUAUUAGAGACUGACUUCAGACCAUCUGCCUGGAGCGAGAUUGAGACACAGUUCAAACUGAAGCACAACUACACUUUGUCACAUACUUGACUACCAAUAGUGUAAUGGUGGCAAAGACAGACGGAUAAGAUGGCAGAAUGAAAGUGAGCAAUGCGUCUCUCCUGCCGAUUAUCUCCAUCUCUCCAACUGUGCCAAAGUCAAUGUGUAGAUUUGUGUUCUUUUGUGAGAUUAACAGAACAUUGUUUAACGUAAUCACAUGCAGCUCAAAGUGGCCAAUGGGCCUGUGAAUACACAUUGAAAUAAUUUGUAAUAUUUAUAUAUUUUUUAAAUUAAAUUUCUGAAAGGAAUUGUAUUUAUAUUAAAUCUGUAUUAUAUCUGUAGGGUUUUCCUUCUUACACAGACCAUAAAAAUGAGAUUUCAGGACUUUCAAGGUGUCUUUAUAUAAAGAAAGUGAAGAGUAAGCUCUAAAAACUUAAAUCAAAACAUAGAAAUGUUUCCUUUGAAACUAACUGAAAUAAGUUCAAGUAUUAAUUUAGUGAUAAUAUUUAUAUUUAUAUUAUUAUAAACAUUUUUUAAACACUGACGGGCUAAGAAGACUUGAAAAACUUUUUAGGAGCAUUUUUUUAGUGCUUGACACUCUAUUGUCACUGUAUUAAAAACGAGCAACUGAAACAUUCUGCUAAACUUUUUUUUUUUUUUAUGUUUCACGUUCAGGUAGACCGACACAGGUUGAAUAGAUGAUGUCAAAAUUCUUAUUGUGGGUGAAUUACAGCAAAACAGAUCAAUCAGUCUUUUUCAAAAUGUUUUCUAAAUCCACAGGUUAAACUCUGUUACAGUCCCAUGUGUACAGACCCAUUCAAUGACCUUUGACCUGAGCUGAGUAAUCGUAGCCCAAACAUGUCUCCUCCUGUGCCAACAAGCCUGGUUUGAGUUACACUUUUAAUAGGCAGGUUUACAGAGGGCAGAGGGAGGUGGAGUGUGGAACAGAUCAAAAGUUCUUUCCUAAAUGUCCUUUGUCGUGACUUUGCUGUGUUUGAUGUCUACACUGUUGACUCUCUCACUCUUUCUCCACCUCGCUUUCUCUCUCUCUCUCUCAUUUCAAAGAGAGGGAAGAGUCAUCUGCCUCCCGUGGUCUGCCAACACACAGACCACCAGGGGAAGUGAGGGAGCAAAAAAGAAAGGAAAAGAAAGAUAACUGGGGAGAUUGGACAGUCGGGAGCUUUUGAAGAAAAGACCAAUUUCUACCCCAAGAACAGCGAUAACUGAUGUGGGUACCCACUGGGGGACUGGACGGAGGAGUAAAUAUGAAUUAUGAAAGAAGAUGACCGUUUUAUCUGUUUGCAGAACAUGUGGACAGUGUGGACUGUUGUCCUUUCACCUGGAGCCAAGACUCAUGAACUGCACGGUUGAGAGUGUUGGGAAAUCUGCAUCCUGUUUUACGGUCGGCAAACUUCUGUUGACUGAAUACAGCAGUUAAGAAUCUGAGGCUUUAUUGCAAAUAAAGGGUGUUUCUGACAAUAUUUUGGCGGCGCGUGCACCGGCGGGGUGAACAUAUUGAGUUCAAAACAGAAAUGAGAGAGCAUUGGAGGAAAAAAUCAAUAGAUGGGUGAAUGAAUAGGUGAAGUGAGUCAGUAUACAGCUAUUCACUGUCUCGGUGCCUCUUUUGUCCUUUCUGUGCUAUUUGGUUAAAAUCUCUUUUAUCUCUGCUGGUGCCAGUCUCUGAUGCAUAAACGCUCCAGACUGACUCCUUUUGCUUUGAUAGAGGGACACAAAAACCGCAUUAGCGUUUCAGCAUCAGUAAGAAUAUCGCAUAUCCGGCUUGUCAUUCAUUUGAUUUUACACUUCUUAAUUUCUCUUACAUGGUACAUUUCCUCCUUGACCUGUACUGAAGUCAUCCAUGAUAAUGUUCUUAUAUAAGAAUAUAUUGUAUCCUGUUGAUUGAAAUAAUUCUGGUCAAGGUUUUUUUUUUUUUUUUAUCAAAGUAUGUGGGUUAUUUUAGUUUUCAAAUUAAUUAAAAUAUAUGAUAAUGUGUAUCAUAUAAUGCAUAUCCUUCUUACAAGUGGCAAAACAAGCUCAAUUUAAGACAUGCUGUUGGUCCUGCUGGAAAGCACAGGCAUUGCAAGGCCAAGGUUUCGGUUUGUCAUCACAUCUAUUUUCAGGUUACUUUAAACUGCUUUAGGUAUAUGAACAUGUCACCUGCCGUCACGUCAAACUGUGUGUUUUUCCUCCUGUGUGUUUAUUGUCAUUUCCUCUCCACACACUCGUGUCUUCAAACACAAGUGUGUGUGUGUGUGCGUAUUUUGUUAGAUGUGUUAACUGUAGCACUGGAACCAGAUACUUUAUGAUACAACUUUUCAUCUCUUUUGCACACUCACACAGUCUGUCGUUGUCUCACUCGGCAGGGUGGGCUUUAAUCUAUUUUCACCCCUGGCUUCUUAAGAAAGUAGAUCUACCAAGUCAACUUCCUACUGGGAGAGUCACUCCUGACUAAACUUUGUGUGUGUGAGCGUGCCCUGUACGGGAAUAGUGAGUUUCUUAAAAAUUUCCCCAUCUCUCAUUUAAGUUUAAUUUAAACCUAUGAAUUAAUUUCUUCUGCAGAGCACGAAAGAUGAUAUGUUUAAUAUCUUUGUAUUUUAAAAAAAUAACAGUAAAAAAUAAAACACUACAAAAUUUC